This 400-nucleotide ribosomal RNA is filed under the name uncultured bacterium. RNAcentral describes it as "bacterial SSU rRNA". It matches the Rfam family "Bacterial small subunit ribosomal RNA", at positions 355 to 747 of the family's 1533-position model. The record is from RNAcentral.
UGGGGAAUAUUGCACAAUGGGGGAAACCCUGAUGCAGCCAUGCCGCGUGUGUGAAGAAGGCCUUCGGGUUGUAAAGCACUUUCAGCGGGGAGGAAGGGAAUAUGGCUAAUAUCCAUGUUCAUUGACGUUACCCGCAGAAGAAGCACCGGCUAACUCCGUGCCAGCAGCCGCGGUAAUACGGAGGGUGCAAGCGUUAAUCGGAAUAACUGGGCGUAAAGCGCACGCAGGCGGUUUGAUUAGUCAGAUGUGAAAUCCCCGGGCUCAACCUGGGAACUGCAUUUGAAACUGUCAAACUAGAGUCUUGUAGAGGGGGGUAGAAUUCCAGGUGUAGCGGUGAAAUGCGUAGAGAUCUGGAGGAAUACCAGUGGCGAAGGCGGCCCCCUGGACAAAGACUGACGCU